This 76-nucleotide transfer RNA is filed under the name Bryobacterales bacterium. RNAcentral's name for it is "tRNA-Thr". It matches the Rfam family "tRNA". Rfam says of the family: Transfer RNA (tRNA) molecules are approximately 80 nucleotides in length. Their secondary structure includes four short double-helical elements and three loops (D, anti-codon, and T loops). The record is from RNAcentral. RNAcentral also lists the same sequence under 2 other names. Lineage: Bacteria; Pseudomonadati; Acidobacteriota; Terriglobia; Bryobacterales.
GCCGACGUAGCUCAGCCGGUAGAGCGCGUCCUUGGUAAGGACGAGGUCACGGGUUCAAGUCCCGUCGUCGGCUCCA